This is a long non-coding RNA of Gossypium raimondii (Peruvian cotton), 827 nucleotides long. RefSeq lists it as uncharacterized. The transcript is spliced from 4 exons. The record is from RefSeq and is a predicted model, not a curated record. NCBI's taxonomy places the organism in Eukaryota, Viridiplantae, Streptophyta, Magnoliopsida, Malvales, Malvaceae.
UCAAAAGAUAUUCUCUCCCCCACUUUUCACGGUUACCUACUGUUCUAUUGCUCCCAUUUUGCUUCCAUUCCUUUGUUUAUUUUCAGCACUUCUAGUGAGAAAAACACACAAAAGAUAGAUUUCUUAAAUUUGUUUCGUUCUCUUUUUUUCCCUUUCUAUAAUCUUUGCUAUUUUCACUCGGCUAUUGAUUUUGUUCUUAUUCAUUCUAUUCAUUUAUUGUGGUUGCUAGGUGGUGCAAUCUCUGUUGUUUUUACAGAUUUAAGUUUCAAAAUUGAGUUUUCCCUUUCUCUGAUCUUUUUUAUUUUCACUCGAAUUUUGAUUUUGUUCUUAUUGAUUCUAUUUAUUUAUUGCGGUUGGUGGGUGGUGCAAUCUCCGUUGUUUUUACGAAUUUAAGUUUUAGGUAAUUAAGAGUGAUAAUCAAGAAACUCGGGAUUUUUCUCCUAUGAUAUAGUUGUGUGAAGAACUGUUGUGAAAAUUUGGAGGAAGUGUUCUGUAAAAGGCGAUAAUUCAUCUAUUUAUCUGGCAACUCAGCUGCAAAUGUUCUGUAAAGUGUCAUACAGACACUAAGUGGUGUGUAGGGUUGGGUGGGUGAUUCAUACACCACAUGGUGUGUUGGGAUGGUCGGAGUUGGUAUGUAGCAGAUGGAGGUUGGAUUAUAGGUAAUCCUUAGACUUAGGCGGAUCGGUGCGACAAGAGCUCGGUUAAUAUCAUAUUUUCGUAAAUUUAACUUAUUUAAAAUUUGGGUUUAGAGUUUUGUAAAUUUUGGACUCUUUGGACAUUUUGGGUUGUUUUGGAUUUAGGACUUUAUUUCCGUAUUUUUCUUAAUC